AGGUCCCAAGGGUUCGGCUGUUCGCCGAUUAAAGUGGCACGCGAGCUGGGUUCAGAACGUCGCGAGACAGUUCGGUCCCUAUCUGUUGUGGGCGUGGGAAAAUUGAGAGGAUCUGUCAUUAGUACGAGAGGACCGUGAUGGACAAGCCUCUGGUGUACCUGUUGUGGUGUCAGCUGCAGCGCAGGGUAGCUACGCUUGGAAGAGAUAAGCGCUGAAAGCAUCUAAGUGCGAAACUCGCCUCAAGAUGAGUCUUCCAUGAGAGUCCCUGUAGACGACGGGGUUGAUAGGCUGCAGGUGUAAGGUCUGAGAGGAUUUUAGCCGAGCAGUACUAAUUGCUCGAUACUUUUAGAAUG
Molecule: ribosomal RNA, 353 nt
Filed under: Bacteroidota bacterium
Lineage: Bacteria; Pseudomonadati; Bacteroidota
Description: Bacteroidetes bacterium (mine drainage metagenome) partial 23S ribosomal RNA
Rfam family: Bacterial large subunit ribosomal RNA
Source: RNAcentral